This 228-nucleotide unclassified non-coding RNA is filed under the name Hevea brasiliensis (rubber tree). Lineage: Eukaryota; Viridiplantae; Streptophyta; Magnoliopsida; Malpighiales; Euphorbiaceae. The record is from RNAcentral.
CUGAGUUGAUGGAGGAGUCCCGGUUUUUGCUAGAGGAGGCUCUUCUACAGGAGUUGAAGGAUUUUUCUUAUUGAAUCUGUAUUAUUCUUGGGCUUUGAUUUCCCAUUUGUAUUUUUCAUAGUCUAAAUAGAUUUUUUUUUGUUUGAUAUUCUUUUGUUGGAUCUAAUAUUUACUGAUGCUAUUUAGACUAUGAAAAAUACAAAUGGGAAAUCAAAGCCCAAGAAUAAU